GAAGCCUCCAAUUCACAGAGUAUUUUAACAGAUUGCAUGUAUGCGCCAUUACCCAUUGGGAGAAACUUGGCUGCUACAUCCAGAUGGCCUCUAAAGAUGAAGUUGAAGAAAGACACGUUUUCCUACUCUAACCGUGUGACCGGGAAAGCAAUGAUCCACUAUAUGAAAUAUCUGUAAGGUCCAAGCUGUUUUGCAAGAAAUCACCAUUUCCUCACCAUCCAGGCUAAAUGCUCCUCCUGCUGGAAAGGGAAAAGCUCCAAGGUCAGGACCUGCCUAUGAUGGUGAAAGAGCCCCUACCUAGCUCACUGAGGAUAAUACUGCAUCUGCCUCUGCUCCCUCCAGAAGGGAGAUCCUUUUUCCCCCACCUCUGUGACAGAUAAAAUGAUGCCUCUGCUUCCCAACAGGAGGGCCAGGACAGAACUGGAGCCCAAAAUACCUCACAGCCUGGUCAGUCAUUACAGAGGUCACGUGGGUGCAGUUACCCUCCCUGUAACCAGCAGUCCUCAAGGAACACAAAUGCUUUGAAAUGACAGUAACUUAGAAUGAGAGGGGGAAAUAAGACGCCCAUCUCUGUGAAUUUGCAAAGGAGCAAAGUAAGGUGGGAUGUCACAUGGGCCUCAUGCACUUGAGCUUGCUGGUUUCCUGCCGGAGCUUCUGACAGCUCUGAAAAGCUUCAAGAGCUUUUGUAAUAUGCAUAUCUGACCUCGUUACUUCAGUCAGCCUGUCUCUCUUACACCUGUGCAAUGCCCUUGAAAGUCCACUCCUAGCCCCCAAUAUGGCACCCAUUAACAAAACUGGUAACCAGUACCCAAGAGAAGAUCAUGGCCUAGUGCUAGAGCAUUGCCCCUUCAGGGACAGGGACUUGGAUUAUCAACUGCUCUGACAUUUCCUAAUCAAAAGUUUCCGGUUUUAGCUCAUCAUCUCCUUAUGAAUGUUUUCAGAUGCUCUCUGGGGGUCUCAGCACAUUUAAAGGCUAAUUAUAUAGUUAAAGUUAAUUAUUCAUUCAUUAACAUUCAAGAAGCCUUUAACAAGACAUUGACUUGUUCUGGUGAAUUAAUGCAACCAGAGUGAACACGCUUGUGUGUGUGUGUGUGUAUUUUGGAGGUCUAGUCUCAAGUGUUUCUGAAAAUGAAACAUCUCUUUGAUGAUAACAAUGUAUUUUUUUAGGUCAUGUCAAAGCCUUGUUAGGAAGAGCAGCAGACCCACACAUUACACAAAUUUCAUAUUUGGCCAACUAUAGAAUGGUGUACAGGAUUCAGAUCCAUCUUUAACAGCUCUGGGAAGGAGAUCCACUACAGGUCCUCUCUGAGCUUCAGUUUACUUGUCUGUAAGUUGAGGACAUAAUAGCUCUCCUGUAAGGUUGCCUGACACAUAAGUUAAAAUGGAAGUGAAGGUGUUUGGUGAUUGUAGAUUCUGGUGACACUGGAGAUUGUUAGGCAACAAUUAUAUCCUUGUGCAGAGAAGAAAUAGU
Chinchilla lanigera (long-tailed chinchilla) is the source of this 1471-nucleotide long non-coding RNA. RefSeq lists it as uncharacterized. The transcript has 3 exons. Lineage: Eukaryota; Metazoa; Chordata; Mammalia; Rodentia; Chinchillidae. The record is from RefSeq and is a predicted model, not a curated record.